This 316-nucleotide unclassified non-coding RNA is filed under the name uncultured Funneliformis. Its description in RNAcentral is "sequence contains ITS2". The stretch from base 1 to 52 matches the Rfam family "5.8S ribosomal RNA", at positions 103 to 154 of the family's 154-position model. The record is from RNAcentral. Lineage: Eukaryota; Fungi; Glomeromycota; Glomeromycetes; Glomerales; Glomeraceae.
AACGCAAAUUGCACUCCCUGGUAUUCCGGGGAGUAUGCCUGUUUGAGGGUCGUCAGAAUAAAAAUCGAGGCGUCGCUCUUUUUUUUAAGGGUGAUCGUGUCGGAAUUGAGCCGUCUUUCAAAUGUUAAUUCAUGUCAAAGUGGCUUAAAAUUCAUCCAUCCGGUACGAUUAAAGCGUAUUUAAGAUCAAUUUUGAUUAAGAACGCGCGAUGACGUACCAUCUCAUGUAGUACGUUUGACUUGGCGUCGUCAGGAUCAUUCGUAUACGAUACUCAACUUUUGACCUCAAAUCAGGUAAGAAUACCCGCUGAACUUAA